RNAcentral lists this ribosomal RNA (253 nucleotides) under uncultured bacterium. RNAcentral's name for it is "partial 16S ribosomal RNA". It matches the Rfam family "Bacterial small subunit ribosomal RNA", at positions 524 to 776 of the family's 1533-position model. The record is from RNAcentral.
UACGUAGGGGGCAAGCGUUGUCCGGAAUCAUUGGGCGUAAAGAGCGUGUAGGCGGCCCGGUAAGUCCGCUGUGAAAGUCCAGGGCUCAACCCUGGGAUGCCGGUGGAUACUGUCGGGCUCGAGUCCGGAAGAGGAGUGUGGAAUUCCUGGUGUAGCGGUGAAAUGCGCAGAUAUCAGGAGGAACACCAAUGGCGAAGGCAGCACUCUGGGACGUGACUGACGCUGAUACGCGAAAGCGUGGGGAGCAAACAGG